RNAcentral lists this ribosomal RNA (467 nucleotides) under uncultured bacterium. RNAcentral describes it as "bacterial SSU rRNA". It matches the Rfam family "Bacterial small subunit ribosomal RNA", at positions 28 to 521 of the family's 1533-position model. The record is from RNAcentral.
GACGAACGCUGGCGGCGUGCUUAACACAUGCAAGUCGAGGGUAGCAAUACACUGGCGCAAGGGUGCGUAACGCGUAGAUUAUCUGCCCCAUACACUAACAUAACGCUUGGAAACGGGUGCUAAUAUUAGAUGAGGUGCUUCGGCAUCAAAGUUUCGACGGUAUGGGAUGAGUCUGCGUCUGAUUAGCUAGUUGGUAGUGUAAUGGACUACCAAGGCGACGAUCAGUAGCUGGUCUGAGAGGACGAUCAGCCACACUGGAACUGAGACACGGUCCAGACUCCUACGGGAGGCAGCAGUGAGGAAUUUUGCGCAAUGGACGAAAGUCUGACGCAGCGACGCCGCGUGUGGGAUGAAGGGGCUACGCCCUGUAAACCACUGUUAGAUGUGAAAAAAAGAAUGGCUUUGUCCGUCCGGGAUUGUAACAUCAAAGAAAGGAACCGGCUAACUAACGUGCCAGCAGCCGCGGU